UACGUAGGGGGCGAGCGUUGUCCGGAUUUAUUGGGCGUAAAGAGCUCGUAGGCGGUUUGGUAAGUUGGAUGUGAAAUCUCCAGGCUCAACUUGGAGGGGUCAUUCGAUACUGCCAUGACUAGAGUUCGGUAGGGGAGUGUGGAAUUCCUGGUGGAGCGGUGAAAUGCGCAGAUAUCAGGAGGAACACCGGUGGCGAAGGCGGGUCUCUGGGCAGUAACUGACGCUGAGGAGCGAAAGCGUGGGGAGCGAACAGG
This 254-nucleotide ribosomal RNA is filed under the name uncultured bacterium. Its description in RNAcentral is "partial 16S ribosomal RNA". It matches the Rfam family "Bacterial small subunit ribosomal RNA", at positions 524 to 776 of the family's 1533-position model. The record is from RNAcentral.